This 487-nucleotide ribosomal RNA is filed under the name uncultured bacterium. RNAcentral's name for it is "partial 16S ribosomal RNA". It matches the Rfam family "Bacterial small subunit ribosomal RNA", at positions 28 to 506 of the family's 1533-position model. The record is from RNAcentral.
GAUGAACGCUAGCGGCAGGCUUAACACAUGCAAGUCGAGGGGCAGCAUAAUGGAUAGCCCUAUCUAUGGUGGCGACCGGCGCACGGGUGCGUAACGCGUAUGCAACCUAUCUUUAACAGGGGGAUAACACUGAGAAAUUGGUACUAAUACCCCAUACUAUCAUAGAAGGCAUCUUUUAUGGUUGAAAAUUCCGAUGGUUAGAGAUGGGCAUGCGUUGUAUUAGCUAGUUGGUGGGGUAACGGCUCACCAAGGCGACGAUACAUAGGGGGACUGAGAGGUUAACCCCCCACACUGGUACUGAGACACGGACCAGACUCCGACGGGAGGCAGCAGUGAGGAAUAUUGGUCAAUAGACGCAAGGCUGAACCAGCCAUGCCGCGUGCAGGAUGACGGCUCUAUGAGUUGUAAACUGCUUUUGUACGAGGGUAAACGCAGAUACGUGUAUCUGUCUGAAAGUAUCGUACGAAUAAGGAUCGGCUAACUCCGG